Molecule: ribosomal RNA, 368 nt
Filed under: uncultured organism
Description: bacterial SSU rRNA
Rfam family: Bacterial small subunit ribosomal RNA
Source: RNAcentral
CGGAGGGUGCAAGCGUUAUCCGGAUUCACUGGGUUUAAAGGGUGCGUAGGAGGGCAGGUAAGUCAGUGGUGAAAUCUCCAAGCUUAACUUGGAAACUGCCGUUGAUACUAUCUGUCUUGAAUAUUGUGGAGGUGAGCGGAAUAUGUCAUGUAGCGGUGAAAUGCUUAGAUAUGACAUAGAACACCAAUUGCGAAGGCAGCUCGCUACACAUAUAUUGACUCUGAGGCACGAAAGCGUGGGGAUCAAACAGGAUUAGAUACCCUGGUAGUCCACGCCCUAAACGAUGGAUACUCGACAUACGCGAUACACUGUGUGUGUCUGAGCGAAAGCAUUAAGUAUCCCACCUGGGAAGUACGACCGCAAGGUUG